Ribosomal RNA from Alligator mississippiensis (American alligator), 381 nucleotides. It matches the Rfam family "Eukaryotic small subunit ribosomal RNA", at positions 629 to 981 of the family's 1831-position model. The record is from Rfam. Lineage: Eukaryota; Metazoa; Chordata; Crocodylia; Alligatoridae.
UGUAGUUGCAUCUUGGGAUCAAGCUGGUGGUCACCUGCAAGGUGAGCUACUGCCUGUCCAAACCUGUUCCCUUCUCAGUGCUCCCUUGAUGCUCUUAACUAAGUGUCCUGGGGAUCUCAAGCAUUUACUCUGAAAAAAUUAGAGUACUCAAAGGAGGCUGGUCACAGGAAUACUCCAUCUAGGAAUACUGGAAUAGGACUCUGGUCUGUUUUUUUUGGUUUUCGGAACUGGGGCCAUGAUAAAGAGGCAUGGCUGGGGGCAUUCAUGUUGUGCCGCUAGAGGUGGAAUUCUUGAACUGGCUGCUGUCAAGAAGCAGUAGGUGGUCUGGGGAACGGGUUCUGAGCCCCCAGGCUGCAUGGCCCAGGUCCAGCAUUGCUCCAG